Long non-coding RNA from Melanotaenia boesemani (Boeseman's rainbowfish), 247 nucleotides. RefSeq lists it as uncharacterized. The record is from RefSeq and is a predicted model, not a curated record. Lineage: Eukaryota; Metazoa; Chordata; Actinopteri; Atheriniformes; Melanotaeniidae. The transcript has 3 exons.
CUGAUGCUGAUCAUAAGUUGGAGGGAAUCUUGAGAGAAACUAUGGCAGAAACGAGCUCAAUGGCACCCACGACAGCGCAUUCCAAAAAAAGCAUAUGGAUCAUAGGGGACAGUUAUGUCCGAAGGGGAGAGGAGAGAGCCAGGGACACCAUCGGCUGCAAUCUCGGGCUGGACGCUUCAGUCCACUGGUUUGGCUGGGGUGGCCUGAGGUGGCAUCGGCUUAUCCCCUUUUUCCAUCAAGCCUUGCA